Molecule: long non-coding RNA, 2934 nt
Organism: Crotalus tigris (Tiger rattlesnake)
Lineage: Eukaryota; Metazoa; Chordata; Lepidosauria; Squamata; Viperidae
Exons: 2
Source: RefSeq, a predicted model, not a curated record
UCGCUGUUGUCAGAUCUUUCCUCAGCUGCUUUUCCUAUUUUUUUUUUAACGUACCAGCCGUAUAUUGGACCGCAGAGUCCACUGGAGUUGGAUAAUGGCCAGUAAACAAAACAACAGUAAAUAAAGGGACCUCGUCCUGUCACAAAAGUGUUUAAACCUGGAGAAUAUGUUUACGUUCAAGCACAAAAGAGUUUUCCUUGCCAACGAUCAUAUCGACCUUUUCCCACAACAGCUGCAACAGUGCUCCGAGACCCCCAAAUUGGAAAUUCCAGGAAACUAUAAACUCGUUUUCCGAUUGACUGCUUCAUCACUGACAAGAAUCGAGAAUCAGGCGAAGUAGCCUAGUUAUUUUCCCAUCCGUGCAGGGCUUGCAGUAGACUGGACUGCAAAAAUUCGCCUGACCACUAACUGGCAGCAGAGAGACACGGAAACUCCUCGUGCGGAUUUUUCCAGACCAGGUAAAAUACCCCGCCUGCGUUUGUUUGGACCUUUGGAGCCCGGAAAAGCAAAGCGGAAGAAGUGAUGCUAGUGAAUCUGUAUGAUCCUGGUAAGAUGGCGAUGCUGAUGAUGGCGGAUGCUAUCCAGAACUGGUGAAACCGGUGGAUGAACCACAUUCCCUCUGAGCUUUUGGAAAACUCCCUUCCAUCCCACAAUUGCCUUUCGCGCAUUGGAGAAUGACUCCGAAAUAAAAGAUCCAGGAAUCUUCUCUCCUUUCCGUGAGUCCUGUAACUCUGAAGACCUGCACUUCGCCCGCGGGGCUAUGCAGGCGAUUUAUGGUGUGGAAGAAAUUAACCCAUAAGAAAGUGAGAAAGCUAUCCAGAAGAAUCACUGUAAAGAUGAAUUUAAGCCAAAUAUAGGACUUUAACAACGUUGACACCAAGCAAAUAGGUGGGGAAUCACCAGGGGACUUACAAUAAGCUUCUUAAAAAUUUGACUGAGUCCCUUCUACAAGUCUUAUAUCGUAAUAAUUAAUUAUCUGGAGACUGUAUAGCAGCUUGUUUAUUUUGGUGGGUGAUACUUUGUAUGGGCAUGAUUCAAAGUAGCAUUGGUGGUCCAUGGGCCUGAGCAGUAACAGCAACUGUAUUCUCAAUGGCUGGAAAGAUGACAUUCAGUUCAAUUUAGCAUAUUCAGAAGCCAUUAAUUUUCUAGCGGUGACUGGCAGCACCUUUAGAAAAGAUGACUACUUUUAUCAUAGCUCUCUUCCUGGAUCCUUUCAAUUGAAAUUCUUUGGCUGAUAUACAACAUACCUUCCCUGCCUUAUUGGGUGAGACAGGCUGAUGUGAUGGGAUGAAGAUGGUUCCAUAGGUAACCUGGCCCUAGUAGGGCUUUAUGGGCCAUAACCAACACCUUGAAUUGGGCCUGGAAGCAAACCAGCACCUAAUGCAGCUCAUACAGCAGAAGUGUUACAUGCACCAUUCUGUGGGUGCCCAAAAUUGCCCUUGUGGCUGCAUUUUGUAACAGCUGAAAUUUUUGGAUACUUUUCAAGGGUAACCUUAUGUAGAUCACAUUGCAAUUUAUGUAAACCAGUCAAGAUAUCAUGACAGAUGCCCCAAGGGCUGUUGUAGUACUUUUCUACUAAAUGAGGCAAAUAAAUACAUUGGUUGAACAUUGACCAUCCCUAAACCUACUUGCAGGACAUUGUGCUGCUCCAUCUAUUUCAUUAAACUCCCAUGGAAAUGUCUGGAAAGUUGCUAAUUAUACUAAGAAAGUUAAAUGAGUGAAUGUUAGUCAGGUUUAUCUUGUUUCUUCUUUUAUAUAUUGGCAUUGCAAUAGAUCGAAUCCAGUCAUUUGAAGCAUAUACAAUCUGUAAGGGAAUUUUAAAUUGUAAUUCAAUGUUAGGAAAAAAUUAUGUCCCCUUAGAAAUCUUAACCUUUAGCACCUGCAAUAAGUUUGGAUAGGUAACACAUUUCAAAUUUUAGUAACAUUUUCAGGAACAGAUACCAGUAUUAGAGACUCCAUAUAAUAGUUAUUGGAUCCACUCCUACUUUUAUCUAAGGACACUGCAAAAUACUUCAGAGAAAGGAGUUAAUUCCUGUGUGGAAAAGAUCAUCCUUGUAUAUCUGGAGAAUAUCUUUUAGUCAACAGUAAUGUUUUUAAUAUUGAUAAAUUAAAUACACCCUCUCUAACAUUUUAUCCAAUAAGAAUAGGAGAACAAAGGUGUAUGGGGCAAUUUUAAGAUUGUUAAACAAUAUUUUAAACACUGUUCAUUCAUGUCUGCUAAAAAUGUCUAUUGCAUUCCUAAUCAAUGUUAUUUCAAUAUAUUAAUUUUACCCUUUCAUGGCACUGUAAUUUUGAGUCUGCCUAUUUGCUUGUCUAGUUAUUUCCCCCCCCCCUUGAUUCUUUUGUUGGCGGGUCCUAUUUCUCUGAACAAAUAUUCCUUGAAGCAGCUUAUAUUAGAGCAUUGCCCUCUCCUUUCUUAGGCCUGGAUAUCUUCCAAAGACUUUGCUCUUCUGUUCUGCUCACACAUUCAAACAAAUCUACCUAAUUGUUUUCAGUUUCCUUGAGUAUAGAUUAAUUCAACCAAUCAUUAUUAGCAGCUUUACCAAACAUAAUAAGCUCAGCACAAACAAUAAGUUUAUAUUGUGUAGAUAUGUACUAUUGAUUGCCUCUCUGAGUUCAUUGCAAAUAUUUUGUUUUGAAAAAUGAGUUUAUAUUUUAAGGAUUUUAAAAGAUUUCAGAGGUAGCAUUAGAUGCCUUUUGAAUUUGCUUUGCAGGAUGCUGCUUCAUACAGUAUUAUUUUCUGUUCCACUUCCUUUCAUUCUUGCUUGAAAGUGUACCUUGAAUAAGUUAUGAAUUACGAUACAGGAUCUUCCCCUCAACUCUUCUCAUCUGUUCCAUUGCUAAAUUGCAUGAGCUCUCAGUUCCUUGCUGUAUCCUCUAUAACUGUAUCAUCUAAUUAACCUAAUGGAGAUUAAAGUUUAUCUUGAAUAAUAA